Molecule: long non-coding RNA, 1189 nt
Organism: Oncorhynchus kisutch (coho salmon)
Lineage: Eukaryota; Metazoa; Chordata; Actinopteri; Salmoniformes; Salmonidae
Exons: 3
Source: RefSeq, a predicted model, not a curated record
AGUCAGUAGACAUGGAGGAUGGGAAGCCUGAUCUGCUGUUAGUCAAAGAGGAGAGAAUAGAAGACGGACCAGAGAGCAUUGACCUGCUGAGUGGACUAAAGAUGGGGGAGCAAGGUGGUUGGCUGGAGGCUGACAGAGGAGACUGGGUGGCCAUCAUGGAUUCCCAGACUCAGACGAGUGCAUCCAAAGGCUCAGGGGACAACAUCACUGAUCAGGCCAGGACCAGAGAUGACAUAUUGUAGACUGGCUGAGACCAGGGCGACGCGUAGAUUUGGUCUGCGGGGACGGGAAGGUGUCCAUAUGAGGCGGGAGAGAACAGACACAGACUAGCGAUGCUCCAUCCUGCUCCUAUAGUUGUGAUUUAGAGAGACUGCCUUCUAUAGGAUCUAUCAACUGGAACAUUGACCCUGCUACAACACAAACACUCCCUGGCCUUCGUCCUCCUCACACUCUCCUAAUGUUAAACCAGACAUCAGACAAUGCCAGUGCCUCAACACUAAAUGGCAACACAAACCCAUUGACAAAUGACAGUCGUAGUGACGUUAUUAGUAGAUCCGGUGGCAAAGAGAAGCGCUUCCCGUGUUCAUUCUGUGGGAAAGCCUUCAGUUUCCCCAAACAGGUGGAUAUCCACCAGAGGAUGCACACAGGGGAAAAAGAAUUUGGCUGCCAACUGUGCCGGGCUAGUUUUUCAGACUCGUCCAACCUGAAGAGGCACCUGAGGGCCCACAGGAGAGAAAUCGUACAGCUGCCCCCAGUGUGAUAAGAGGUUCUCCCAUCAGCACCACCUGAAGAGACACCAGAGGGUCCACAGGGGAGAAAGGCCGUUCACCUGUAUGCACUGCAGGAAGAGGUUCUCAGAGGAGAUACCUCAGGAUCCACCAGCAGAAAAUGCACACAUGUAAUGUAGUAUUAGUUCUUUUGUAGUUAAUUCUGUUGGUUUUGGAUGUAGUAGGGAACUGGAGGAGGUGACUUGAGGGAAGAAUGCGUAUGAUGAGGCAGAGUAGAUGAUAUGGUGAUGUAGGGCUGGGCGAUAUGGCCAAAAUCUCAUAUCCUGAUAACGAUACAUAUCACGAUAUACACAUUUUCUGUAAAUUCAAUGAAUAAAUAGUUUAUAUAAAAUGACCACAUGUAAAGGCCUAUUUCUUAUUACAUUUUGAAUUAUACUCAACAAAUAAAAGGUAUUUACUCA